Molecule: ribosomal RNA, 445 nt
Filed under: uncultured bacterium
Lineage: Bacteria
Description: partial 16S ribosomal RNA
Rfam family: Bacterial small subunit ribosomal RNA
Source: RNAcentral
GUGAGGAAUAUUGGUCAAUGGGUGAGAGCCUGAACCAGCCAAGUCGCGUGAAGGAAGACGGCCCUACGGGUUGUAAACUUCUUUUGCAAUGGAAUAAAAAGAGUUACGUGUAAUUCAUUGUAUGUACAUUGCGAAUAAGGAUCGGCUAACUCCGUGCCAGCAGCCGCGGUAAUACGGAGGAUCCGAGCGUUAUCCGGAUUUAUUGGGUUUAAAGGGUGCGUAGGCGGAUUGGAAAGUCAGCGGUGAAAGUUUGCAGCUUAACUGUAAAAUUGCCAUUGAAACUGUCAGUCUUGAGUGCAAAUGAGGUAGGCGGAAUGUGUUGUGUAGCGGUGAAAUGCAUAGAUAUAACACAGAACACCAAUUGCGAAGGCAGCUUACUGGGAUGCAACUGACGCUGAGGCACGAAAGCGUGGGGAUCAAACAGGAUUAGAAACCCGGGUAGUCC